Molecule: ribosomal RNA, 253 nt
Filed under: uncultured bacterium
Lineage: Bacteria
Description: partial 16S ribosomal RNA
Rfam family: Bacterial small subunit ribosomal RNA
Source: RNAcentral
UACGUAGGGUGCAAGCGUUGUCCGGAAUUAUUGGGCGUAAAGAGCUCGUAGGCGGCUUGUCACGUCGGCUGUGAAAACCUGGGGCUCAACCCGGGGCCUGCAGCCGAUACGGGCAAGCUAGAAUUCGGUAGGGGAGACUGGAAUUCCUGGUGUAGCGGUGAAAUGCGCAGAUAUCAGGAGGAACACCGGUGGCGAAGGCGGGUCUCUGGGCCGAUAUUGACGCUGAGGAGCGAAAGCGUGGGGAGCAAACAGG